Molecule: long non-coding RNA, 588 nt
Filed under: Musa acuminata (dwarf banana)
Lineage: Eukaryota; Viridiplantae; Streptophyta; Magnoliopsida; Zingiberales; Musaceae
Description: long non-coding RNA (MACU_LNC003408)
Source: RNAcentral
UCCAUACAAAUCUUUGCAAUACAAGAGAUCUUCCAUUCUUGGUUUCCAUAUCAUCCAAUUAUUUCCAUUCAAACUAAUCAUGCGAGAAAUAUUACUGACCUCCAUGUUCAAAUACAAAAAUUAAAUCACCAAAACCCCGCUCUGAUACAAGUUGAUGGGGAUAUAACAGGAAUAACCUUUGUAUAGGAACAAAUACUAGAAGACCAAAAUACGCAGCAGAAUAAAAUGGAAACACAAUCAAACAGAACACCAAGAUAUACGUGGAAAACCCCUUCAAUGUGAAGGGUAAAAACCACGGGGCAAACUAGAGAUAAUCCACUAUGAGAAUAAUGAAUGUACAAAUCUCAAUCUCUUGCCCAAAACCCUAGCAACAACCACAAGAGAAUAACUGGGAUACAAUGAUCACGUCACUGCCCACAAUAUCUAAAACUCCCAAGUAAUCACAGCAAGAGCCUACUGUAGAUUUGAUCUAACCUGAGAUGAGAACACUGCUAGAUGAUUGAGAACAGUCUCUCUGUGUUGUCCUUGUCUUCUUCCCUUUCUUUCUCUUCCUUUUCUGCCUUGUUCUCCUUCUUCUCUUUGGAAUCU